ACGAGAAGCACUCCAUCUUGUCACAUGUGAAAGGACACAAAUGUGCAGUAAUGUGGACUCGUCUUCGCAACGCUAUAAAGUCCAAUGAGGCUGCAGAUGCAGAGACAGGAUGAUGCAUGUGGGGAAGGAGGUGGAGGGUAGUAAGUCAGUAAGUGCUCCCUCUCCCUCUUGUCAUGAAUAAUGGAGAGCCAGAAGCAGCAGCAGCAGCAGCAGCAGUGUGGUACAGAGGGACCGUGCAACCAGGAGCAAGGAGUGUUUACUUACUGUAUGUAUUUUGAUCAAAUAUUUCCUGGAUUUCCUGGUUUUGUUCAUCCCCCUUAUUUUCUUUUUUGACUCUCUUAUGUAUUUUAUUCAUUUUGAUCAUUCUUUACUAAAACACUCACAAACCAUAUAGAUAGAGAAUGUUUAUCAGAAGGUUGAGUUAGAACUAGGCUCUUACACUGAGGGGUUACUUUUGGCGGUCCAUCUCUUAUCGUCUGUUUGUCGAAACUCUUUGGUCUGUUUGGGUGUGACAGGCAUCUCAGCCUUUAGGGGGCGCAAGUAAGACUUUAAGACUACAGCUUGUUACAUUUCAUUCGCCAUUAAAAUUGCAAACCACUCACUGCGCUCAGAUGAUCAAAUCUGUCGGACCCAUGAUGGCACUACUCCCAUUCUUGGAGCAAUAAAAUGCCUUUCAUAAAGUUUUAUUAGAUUUACAGUAUAUCUUGGUUAGUUUUUGAACUUGCAGUUAAAAUGAACUAAGUGUGAGAAAAACAAGAAAAACACAAGGUCACAAUGACAAGUGCCUUAUUCCAUUUAGCACAUCAACCACUUGUGUAGAUAAUGAACCUUUACUGUGGAGUUCAUAGCACACCCCGGGAGAAGGAAGCAUCAAAACACUAUCACUAAUUAGAACAUCUACAAUGUGCAGCACACCAUACGACUUUGAUUUGAGCUUUUACUUGAUGUAUAAAACAACUGGUUGGGACGUUAGCCAUACGAAUCUGAACUAACAUUUAUUUAAAGCCUCUAGAAUCACAAUUUGUCUGGUGCCAUGUUGACGUUUUGCAGCCAGUAGUUUGGAGGCAUCACCAUGUACAUACUGGUGAGUGGGUGCUGGGGGUGUAGGCAGCAGGAUUAUGUUGACUGAAUGUAGGGGAAACAAUUAUCACAGCUCAGGUAAAGUUGAUUACACAACGACGGUUCAUUUACGACAUGUAGUGAUCAUUUCAGUAGCUGUUGAUUAAAAAACAAAACGUUGAUGAAUUGUACUGCUGUCCCGAUAGCUAAUUGACAAGAAAAGCCACUAACAAGCAAAUGGCAUGAGGGAUUUAUGUGCACUUAUAGAGUUAUCAUUUCUACAUUCAAUUAUGACUUUAUCUCUGGCACCAUUACU
This is a long non-coding RNA of Solea solea (common sole), 1375 nucleotides long. RefSeq lists it as uncharacterized. Lineage: Eukaryota; Metazoa; Chordata; Actinopteri; Pleuronectiformes; Soleidae. The record is from RefSeq and is a predicted model, not a curated record. The transcript has 3 exons.